ACAAGCGGUGGAUCAUGUUUGUUUAAUUCGAUGAUACGCGAAGAACCUUUACCAGGUCUUGACAUCCCUUGCAAAGCUAUGGAGACAUAGUGGAGGUUAUCAAGGAGACAGGUGGUGCAUGGUUGUCGUCAGCUCGUGUCGUGAGAUGUUGGGUUAAGUCCCGCAACGAGCGCAACCCUUAUUGCUAGUUACCAUCAUUAAGUUGGGGACUCUAGCGAGACUGCCAGUGAUAAACUGGAGGAAGUGGGGAUGACGUCAAAUCAUCAUGCCCCUUAUGACCUGGGCUACAAACGUGAUACAAUGGCUGAAACAAAGGGCAGCGAAGCAGUGAUGUGGAGCGAAACCCAAAAAGCAGUCUCAGUUCGGAUUGAAGUCUGCAACUCGACUUCAUGAAGUUGGAAUCGCUAGUAAUCGUAGAUCAGAACGCUACGGUGAAUACGUUCUCGGGGUUU
Molecule: ribosomal RNA, 452 nt
Filed under: uncultured Acholeplasma sp.
Lineage: Bacteria; Bacillati; Mycoplasmatota; Mollicutes; Acholeplasmatales; Acholeplasmataceae
Description: bacterial SSU rRNA
Rfam family: Bacterial small subunit ribosomal RNA
Source: RNAcentral